RNAcentral lists this ribosomal RNA (256 nucleotides) under uncultured bacterium. RNAcentral's name for it is "partial 16S ribosomal RNA". It matches the Rfam family "Bacterial small subunit ribosomal RNA", at positions 96 to 353 of the family's 1533-position model. The record is from RNAcentral.
UGGCGGACGGGUGAGUAAUGUCUGGGAAACUGCCUGAUGGAGGGGGAUAACUACUGGAAACGGUAGCUAAUACCGCAUAACGUCGAAAGACCAAAGAGGGGGACCUUCGGGCCUCUUGCCAUCGGAUGUGCCCAGAUGGGAUUAGCUUGUUGGUGGGGUAAUGGCUCACCAAGGCGACGAUCCCUAGCUGGUCUGAGAGGAUGACCAGCCACACUGGAACUGAGACACGGUCCAGACUCCUACGGGAGGCAGCGUG